This 291-nucleotide ribosomal RNA is filed under the name uncultured bacterium. RNAcentral describes it as "partial 16S ribosomal RNA". It matches the Rfam family "Bacterial small subunit ribosomal RNA", at positions 505 to 796 of the family's 1533-position model. The record is from RNAcentral.
GUGCCAGCAGCCGCGGUAAGACGAACCGUGCGAACGUUGUUCGGAAUCACUGGGCUUAAAGGGCGCGUAGGCGGUCUAGCCAGUCCGGGGUGAAAGCCUCCAGCUCAACUGGAGAAGUGCCUUGGAUACUGCUGGACUCGAGUGAGGUAGGGGUCGUGGGAACUUCCGGUGGAGCGGUGAAAUGCGUUGAUAUCGGAAGGAACGCCGGUGGCGAAAGCGCACGACUGGACCUCUUCUGACGCUGAGGCGCGAAAGCCAGGGAGCAAACGGGAUUAGAUACCCCGGUAGUCC